RNAcentral lists this ribosomal RNA (1020 nucleotides) under uncultured bacterium. Its description in RNAcentral is "bacterial SSU rRNA". It matches the Rfam family "Bacterial small subunit ribosomal RNA", at positions 355 to 1375 of the family's 1533-position model. The record is from RNAcentral.
UGAGGAAUAUUGGUCAAUGGGCGAGAGCCUGAACCAGCCAAGUAGCGUGCAGGAUGACGGCCCUAUGGGUUGUAAACUGCUUUUAUAAGGGAAUAAAGUGAGUCUCGUGAGACUUUUUUGCAUGUACCUUAUGAAUAAGGACCGGCUAAUUCCGUGCCAGCAGCCGCGGUAAUACGGAAGGUCCGGGCGUUAUCCGGAUUUAUUGGGUUUAAAGGGAGCGUAGGCCGGAGAUUAAGCGUGUUGUGAAAUGUAGACGCUCAACGUCUGCACUGCAGCGCGAACUGGUUUCCUUGAGUACGCACAAAGUGGGCGGAAUUCGUGGUGUAGCGGUGAAAUGCUUAGAUAUCACGAAGAACUCCGAUUGCGAAGGCAGCUCACUGGAGCGCAACUGACGCUGAAGCUCGAAAGUGCGGGUAUCGAACAGGAUUAGAUACCCUGGUAGUCCGCACGGUAAACGAUGGAUGCCCGCUGUUGGUCUGAACAGGUCAGCGGCCAAGCGAAAGCAUUAAGCAUCCCACCUGGGGAGUACGCCGGCAACGGUGAAACUCAAAGGAAUUGACGGGGGCCCGCACAAGCGGAGGAACAUGUGGUUUAAUUCGAUGAUACGCGAGGAACCUUACCCGGGCUUGAAUUGCAGAGGAAGGAUUUGGAGACAAUGACGCCCUUCGGGGUCUCUGUGAAGGUGCUGCAUGGUUGUCGUCAGCUCGUGCCGUGAGGUGUCGGCUUAAGUGCCAUAACGAGCGCAACCCCUCUCCUUAGUUGCCAUCAGGUCAAGCUGGGCACUCUGGGGACACUGCCACCGUAAGGUGUGAGGAAGGUGGGGAUGACGUCAAAUCAGCACGGCCCUUACGUCCGGGGCUACACACGUGUUACAAUGGCAGGUACAGAGAGAUGGUGUUCUGCAAAGCGCAUCAAAUCCUUAAAGCCUGUCUCAGUUCGGACUGGGGUCUGCAACCCGACCCCACGAAGCUGGAUUCGCUAGUAAUCGCGCAUCAGCCAUGGCGCGGUGAAUACGUUCCC